This 486-nucleotide ribosomal RNA is filed under the name uncultured bacterium. RNAcentral's name for it is "partial 16S ribosomal RNA". It matches the Rfam family "Bacterial small subunit ribosomal RNA", at positions 30 to 507 of the family's 1533-position model. The record is from RNAcentral.
AUUGAACGCUGGCGGCAUGCCUUACACAUGCAAGUCGAACGGCAGCACGGGUGCUUGCACCUGGUGGCGAGUGGCGAACGGGUGAGUAAUACAUCGGAACAUGUCCUGUAGUGGGGGAUAGCCCGGCGAAAGCCGGAUUAAUACCGCAUACGAUCUACGGCUGAAAGCGGGGGACCUUCGGGCCUCGCGCUAUCGGGUUGGCCGAUGGCUGAUUAGCUAGUUGGUGGGGUAAAGGCCUACCAAGGCGACGAUCAGUAGCUGGUCUGAGAGGACGACCAGCCACACUGGGACUGAGACACGGCCCAGACUCCUACGGGAGGCAGCAGUGGGGAAUUUUGGACAAUGGGCGCAAGCCUGAUCCAGCAAUGCCGCGUGUGUGAAGAAGGCCUUCGGGUUGUAAAGCACUUUUGUCCGGAAAGAAAUCCUUGGCCCUAAUACGGUCGGGGGAUGACGGUACCGGAAGAAUAAGCACCGGCUAACUACGUG